Molecule: transfer RNA, 60 nt
Filed under: Cacopsylla melanoneura
Lineage: Eukaryota; Metazoa; Arthropoda; Insecta; Hemiptera; Psyllidae
Description: tRNA-Gly
Source: RNAcentral
ACUCUAUUAGUAUAAUAAUAUUACAUUUAACUUCCAAUUAAAAAAUCCUAUGAUAGAGUA